RNAcentral lists this small RNA (209 nucleotides) under Lactobacillus delbrueckii. RNAcentral describes it as "HNH endonuclease-associated RNA and ORF (HEARO) RNA". It matches the Rfam family "HNH endonuclease-associated RNA and ORF (HEARO) RNA", at positions 18 to 205 of the family's 211-position model. The record is from RNAcentral. Lineage: Bacteria; Bacillati; Bacillota; Bacilli; Lactobacillales; Lactobacillaceae.
UUUAGCAGGGAAGCUGGAGAAAUCCAGCUUUCAUUGUCUAGACUAAGCAAUCCAGUCGGCUUCGGCCAACAGGAUUGCUACGUUAUCCAUGUAUCACACCCAAGGAUGAUGCCCAAGUCUUUGGCUCUGUGGCAGCUCUGUAAACAGUCAUGAGGUUAACGUGACAGUCAACUGCGUUGGCAAGCAUGGAUAACAUUGUCGAUGGGCAU